This 381-nucleotide ribosomal RNA is filed under the name Triticum aestivum (bread wheat). RNAcentral describes it as "partial small subunit ribosomal RNA". Lineage: Eukaryota; Viridiplantae; Streptophyta; Magnoliopsida; Poales; Poaceae. The record is from RNAcentral.
AUACUCAGUGGAGCCGUCAGUAGGAGAUUCAUAAUGGCAUGGAAAAAUAGCAGGCAAAUGAGAUUCAAAGUGGACUAUACACCUACUAAUUCAGAAGAAACAUUUAAGUGUAGUUGUGAUAGUAUGAAACGUAAAGAUCUUCAAUGCAAGCAUGUUGUUUAUGUUUUAGCCAGGUUGAACGUGAAGGACUUACCUAAGUGCUUAGUGCCGCGAAGGUUCACUAAGAAUGCUAGAGGUGGACUGCCCGUGAAACGCACUAGCGAUCUCUUCGCAUGGGGAUGGACAUGUACUGAGGAGAGAACUAAGUACAGUGAGUUGACUAUUUUGUCUGUGGAAGCAAAUCAUACGGCAUGUCAUAGACCAUUCCUAUUUGAUAAACUG